CAAGGUAUAGCUUAAACACAAAGCAUCUAGCUUACACCUAGAAGAUAUCAUACAAAAUGAUUACCUUGA
Molecule: transfer RNA, 69 nt
Filed under: Phylloderma stenops
Lineage: Eukaryota; Metazoa; Chordata; Mammalia; Chiroptera; Phyllostomidae
Description: tRNA-Val
Rfam family: tRNA
About the family: Transfer RNA (tRNA) molecules are approximately 80 nucleotides in length. Their secondary structure includes four short double-helical elements and three loops (D, anti-codon, and T loops).
Source: RNAcentral